UACGAAGGGGGCUAGCGUUGCUCGGAAUCACUGGGCGUAAAGGGUGCGUAGGCGGGUCUUUAAGUCAGGGGUGAAAUCCUGGAGCUCAACUCCAGAACUGCCUUUGAUAAUGGCGAUCUUGAGUCCGGGAGAGGUGAGUGGAACUGCGAGUGUAGAGGUGAAAUUCGUAGAUAUUCGCAAGAACACCAGUGGCGAAGGCGGCUCACUGGCCCGGUACUGACGCUGAGGUGCGAAAGCGUGGGGAGCAAACAGG
Molecule: ribosomal RNA, 253 nt
Filed under: uncultured bacterium
Lineage: Bacteria
Description: partial 16S ribosomal RNA
Rfam family: Bacterial small subunit ribosomal RNA
Source: RNAcentral